RNAcentral lists this transfer RNA (76 nucleotides) under Schistosoma haematobium. RNAcentral's name for it is "tRNA-Thr". The stretch from base 1 to 58 matches the Rfam family "tRNA". From Rfam's summary of the family: Transfer RNA (tRNA) molecules are approximately 80 nucleotides in length. Their secondary structure includes four short double-helical elements and three loops (D, anti-codon, and T loops). The record is from RNAcentral. Lineage: Eukaryota; Metazoa; Platyhelminthes; Trematoda; Strigeidida; Schistosomatidae.
GCAGGUGUAGUUUAUUGAUAAAAUAUUAGUUUUGUAAACUAAUGAUAGCGCGUAUGUAUUAUAGUGCUUAUCUGUU